CUCAGCCUAACCACCAUUUUUGCAGAUGUAUAUGCCCUCUCCGUUCUUAUGAUAAAAUGGAAUCGACGACUGGGGUUAGGGGAGAAAUAGAUACCAAAUC
Ipomoea nil (Japanese morning glory) is the source of this 100-nucleotide long non-coding RNA. RefSeq lists it as uncharacterized. The transcript has 3 exons. NCBI's taxonomy places the organism in Eukaryota, Viridiplantae, Streptophyta, Magnoliopsida, Solanales, Convolvulaceae. The record is from RefSeq and is a predicted model, not a curated record.